This 482-nucleotide ribosomal RNA is filed under the name uncultured bacterium. Its description in RNAcentral is "partial 16S ribosomal RNA". It matches the Rfam family "Bacterial small subunit ribosomal RNA", at positions 28 to 523 of the family's 1533-position model. The record is from RNAcentral.
GAUGAACGUUGGCGGCGUGGAUUAGGCAUGCAAGUCGUGCGCGAAUCGUAGCAAUACGAGGAGAGCGGCGAAAGGGAGAGGAUAGCAUAGAUACCUACCCUCGGACCUGGGAUAGCUAUGGGAAACUAUAGGUAAUACCAGAUAAUGUCUCCGGACCAAAGGUGUGAUUCCGUCCGGGGAGGGGUCUAUGUCCUAUUAGCUUGUUGGUGAGGUAACGGCACACCAAGGCAAAGAUGGGUACGAGGCGUGAGAGGGUGUCCUCGCUCACUGGGGCUGAGACACUGCCCAGACACCUACGGGUGGCUGCAGUCGAGAAUCUUCGGCAAUGGGCGCAAGCCUGACCGAGCGACGCCGCGUGUGGGAUGAAGGCCUUCGGGUUGUAAACCACUGUCAGUGCGGAGGAAAUAUAGUGGGGUUCUCCCCAUUAUUUGACCUAUGCGCAGAGGAGGGACGGGCUAAGUUCGUGCCAGCCGCCGCGGUAA